This 1524-nucleotide long non-coding RNA is filed under the name Serinus canaria (Common canary). RNAcentral's name for it is "lncRNA (ENSSCAG00000010935.1)". Lineage: Eukaryota; Metazoa; Chordata; Aves; Passeriformes; Fringillidae. The record is from RNAcentral.
GCGAGGCUGGAGCGGUAGAGCGCGGCGCGCACCGUCACGGCCGCCAGCACCACCAGCACCAAGGGGGCCGCCAUCUCGGCGCGCGCUCCGCCGCUGCCUCCGGCUGUAGUUCCCGGGCGGCGCCGGGGAGCACGCCGCCAAUGAACCGGCCCGCCCGGGCAGACUACAUAUCCCAGCAGCCGUCGCGCCUCCACCUCCCAGCGCAACUCGGAACUACGGCGGCCGCUUGGGGGACUAAAUUAGCAGGAGCGCGCUUGCAGCGGCCAGGUGGGGGUCCCUGUCCCGUCCCCCCAGCUGUCCCGUUCGGGUCGCUCUUGCCCAAGAUGGCCACAAGGGACAGCCCCUGCUCUGCCGGAGGACAGGGAUGGGUCUGCCCUCGAGUGGCAUCACGCUCCCCGCGGUCCGUCCCUCCCUCCUAUGGAUCCCAGGUGCCUCUGGAUGGGGACUCUGCCCAGCCGGGGCAAGGCGCGGCGGGCUGGGCCCAGCUCGGACGAGGAGCGUCGGUGGCUUCUGAGCGGUUUGGGAAUCCCCUCAGACAGUUUUUUAUUUUUCAGCCUCCAGGUGUUGUUGCCUCACAAAAAGAAGCAGAUCUGAUGGAGCCAAACACGCAAUAGAGCUGCUGCUGCUGCUGCUGCUGCUGCUGCUGCUGCUGGGAGAUCUGCGCUCCCUCGGUCGCUCUGCCCACACGAGGCGCCUACGCCAAGCACAGGGGAUGGAUGAAUUCAACCUGGGCAUGUUGCGUCACAGAACUUUCAUAAAACACUAUGUUUAACACUGAGCCAAUUCAGGGAUGAUUCAUCUUUGUUCCUGCAAACAGAUGCUGGUAUGGGCAUUUCUUGUGUGCCCUGCUGGAAUUAUGCAAUGGUGACAUUUUUUGGGGUAAACAAGCCACUCCUUUUCCUGACUCACUAUACAAAUUAGGUGUUCUGAUUCCUGAGGCACCCUCUAGUCCUCCCUGGCAACUCUUCCAGCCUAAUGCAGAAUGCAGUUGUUUUUUUUUUGUUUGGUUUUUUUGUUUUUUUUUUUUUUNUUUUUUUUUUUUUGUUUGGUGGGGUUUUUUUUUUUUUUUUUUGCAUUUGGGAGGCCACAGCUUUGUUGUUAUUCUGAGAUUUCAUCAGGGCCCUGUCCAAUGACUUACAUAUCUCAGGGAUGCUUCCUGUUCCUGUGGGAUGUAUCCCACCCUGUCCCAUGUCCCAGGGGUUCACCCAACAUUUAUUUUGGCCAAGCUGUCAUGUUUUAUUUUCAUAGUCAACCACUUCAGUGUUAUACUUUGUUUCCUUCUGCCUUUCCCACCACAGACCUUGCACAGCAGUAGUUAUUGCAUUGUAGUCAUUAGGGGUCUUCAGUGGGUUUGGUGUUCCUGAGAAAGUCACAUUUACAUACUCUUAUCUCACUGUACUGGGGUCCUUUACUGAUAAACAUUUGAGUUGCUUUUGCCUCUUUUCAAGUUGUCUUCUGUUGGAGUUUAUUGACUAGAACACCUGACAGCUUUUGGGUUUAUCAGUGAAAAAAUACCCAUAAAUU